GUUGGUGCAUGCUGACAGCCUGGCACAACUCUAGAGAUGCCCUUCGGGGUGGAUUACCGGCGAACGGGUGAGUAACACGUGGGCAAUCUGCCCUUCACUCUGGGACAAGCCCUGGAAACGGGGUCUAAUACCGGAUAUCACUCUCGCAGGCAUCUGUGAGGGUCGAAAGCUCCGGCGGUGAAGGAUGAGCCCGCGGCCUAUCAGCUUGUUGGUGAGGUAAUGGCUCACCAAGGCGACGACGGGUAGCCGGCCUGAGAGGGCGACCGGCCACACUGGGACUGAGACACGGCCCAGACUCCUACGGGAGGCAGCAGUGGGGAAUAUUGCACAAUGGGCGAAAGCCUGAUGCAGCGACGCCGCGUGAGGGAUGACGGCCUUCGGGUUGUAAACCUCUUUCAGCAGGGAAGAAGCGAAAGUGACGGUACCUGCAGAAGAAGCGCCGGCUAACUACGUGCCAGCAGCCGCGGUAAUACGUAGGGCGCAAGCGUUGUCCGGAAUUAUUGGGCGUAAAGAGCUCGUAGGCGGCUUGUCACGUCGGGUGUGAAAGCCCGGGGCUUAACCCCGGGUCUGCAUUCGAUACGGGCUAGCUAGAGUGUGGUAGGGGAGAUCGGAAUUCCUGGUGUAGCGGUGAAAUGCGCAGAUAUCAGGAGGAACACCGGUGGCGAAGGCGGAUCUCUGGGCCAUUACUGACGCUGAGGAGCGAAAGCGUGGGGAGCGAACAGGAUUAGAUACCCUGGUAGUCCACGCCGUAAACGGUGGGAACUAGGUGUUGGCGACAUUCCACGUCGUCGGUGCCGCAGCUAACGCAUUAAGUUCCCCGCCUGGGGAGUACGGGCGCAAGGCUAAAACUCAAAGGAAUUGACGGGGGCCGCACAAGCAGCGGAGCAUGUGGCUUAAUUCGACGCAACGCGAGACCUUACCAAGGCUUGACAUACACCGGAAACGUCUGAGACAGGCGCCCCUGUGUCGUGUACAGUGUGCAUGCUGUCGUCAGCUCGUGUCGUGAGAUGUGGUAGUCGCACGAGCGCACCUGUCUGGGUGCAGCAUGCCUCGGGGUGAUGGGGACUCACAGGAGAUCGUCGGGGU
Molecule: ribosomal RNA, 1086 nt
Filed under: bacterium
Lineage: Bacteria
Description: bacterial SSU rRNA
Rfam family: Bacterial small subunit ribosomal RNA
Source: RNAcentral